RNAcentral lists this ribosomal RNA (350 nucleotides) under uncultured bacterium. RNAcentral describes it as "bacterial SSU rRNA". It matches the Rfam family "Bacterial small subunit ribosomal RNA", at positions 28 to 372 of the family's 1533-position model. The record is from RNAcentral.
GAUGAACGCUAGCUACAGGCUUAACACAUGCAAGUCGAGGGGCAGCACGGUGUAGCAAUACACUGGUGGCGACCGGCGCACGGGUGAGUAACACGUGUGCAACCAACCCCGUACCGGGAGAUAACCCGCGGAAACGUGGACUAACAUCCCAUGAUACUCGAGAGCCGCAUGGCUCUAGAUUUAAAAUUCCGGUGGUACGGGACGGGCACGCGCGACAUUAGGUAGUUGGCGGGGUAAGGGCCCACCAAGCCGACGAUGUCUAGGGGUUCUGAGAGGAAGGUCCCCCCACACUGGAACUGAGACACGGUCCAGACUCCUACGGGAGGCAGCAGUGAGGAAUAUUGGGUCAA